Molecule: long non-coding RNA, 1165 nt
Filed under: Anas platyrhynchos platyrhynchos (common mallard)
Lineage: Eukaryota; Metazoa; Chordata; Aves; Anseriformes; Anatidae
Description: lncRNA (ENSAPLG00000017108.1)
Source: RNAcentral
GUUAACAAUCCCUGAAUCCUUCAUGGAAGGGACACACAUCCCUCCAUAACACCUGCCUCCUCAAUCCCCCUUAUCCUGUAGCACUCCAGAGCAGCAUUAAUACUAUUUUAAAAAGCAAAAUUCUAAAAUGGGGAAAGCUUCUACAAGCACCUUGGUCAGUUCCAGGUGUAGAAGUUACAUAGUAGAUCAGAACCAUAACUUUUAACUUUAACAAGCAGUAGGAAAACAAGCACUUACAUUGUAUAAAGUAACAACACAACACUAGCAUACUUGAAAGGUUUAUACCACGCUACUAACAAAUCGCAACACAGACUUACCUGGAGCACUGAGGAAUAACACAACUUGAAGCAGUUUUUCUUAUUAAAAAACAAAACAAAACAAACAAAAAAACCCAAACCAAACCAAAACAAAAAAACACAGAAUUUUCUUCAACACAACACCACUAGCAUUGUGUUAUCUCAAUACCAGCAAGGCACAGCAGGCCUCUCUGGUAAGUGUGAGGUAAAACUACUUCCCUCUUUUUCCACUGUUCAAAAGAGCUUAACAAAGUCUGAAGAAAAGCCCUUGAUUGUCCUUAUUUUGUAAGGGGGAAUGUGCCCUGCCAUUGUGUUAUCUCGCUAUGCUCUGCUGUGGAAGCUUCCAGAAGGCACUGAGCAGGGCAGGGCUGGGCUGCUAGGCCGAGGUGAAAUGGUGGUAUUUCCGCAGCCUGCACAAGCUGGGAGGAGCACUUCAGCCUGUGACACCACAGGAAAGCACACUGUGAAGGAGAAUACUGCCUUCCCUUACUGCUUUGUUGCUGCUAAUGACUGUGUCUCUUACUGAAUGACUACCACCUUCAGAACAGAGACUGGACAGCUUUGCGUAGUGAAUGAAUUGUUACUUCUUAGAUUAAAUACCUUCAUGUUUGUAGAGAAUGAGACAGAAGAAUGCAGGAAGAGAAGGAAGGAAAAGGUUGGUUUUAUCUGUUAAAGCAAUUUAAGUUUGCCUUGAUGAUUAGAUUUAGGUACUGAUUCUGGCUGUGAUGGGUUGAUUCCAAGGUCAACCUUCUGUCAGUUGCUAGACACCCACAUAGAGAGUCUUUCACUCCCCCCUCCUCAGUAGGAUGACAGGGGAGAAAAUAAGAUGACAAAGCUCACAAAUCAAAAUAAAGGAGAUCACAACCACA